GAUGAACGCUGGCGGCGUGCUUAACACAUGCAAGUCGAACGAUGAAGCCCAGCUUGCUGGGUGGAUUAGUGGCGAACGGGUGAGUAACACGUGAGUAACCUGCCCUUAACUCUGGGAUAAGCCUGGGAAACUGGGUCUAAUACCGGAUAGGAGCGUCCACCGCAUGGUGGGUGUUGGAAAGAUUUAUCGGUUUUGGAUGGACUCGCGGCCUAUCAGCUUGUUGGUGAGGUAAUGGCUCACCAAGGCGACGACGGGUAGCCGGCCUGGGAGGGUGACCGGCCACACUGGGACUGAGACACGGCCCAGACUCCUACGGGAGGCAGCAGUGGGGAAUAUUGCACAAUGGGCGCAAGCCUGAUGCAGCGACGCCGCGUGGGGGAUGACGGCCUUCGGGUUGUAAACCUCUUUCAGUAGGGAAGAAGCGAAAGUGACGGUACCUGCAGAAGAAGCACCGGCUAACUACGU
RNAcentral lists this ribosomal RNA (465 nucleotides) under uncultured bacterium. RNAcentral describes it as "partial 16S ribosomal RNA". It matches the Rfam family "Bacterial small subunit ribosomal RNA", at positions 28 to 506 of the family's 1533-position model. The record is from RNAcentral.